UUUAUGGAGAGUUUGAUCCUGGCUCAGGACGAACGCUGGCGGCGUGCCUAAUACAUGCAAGUCGAGCGGAGCUAAGUGAAAGCUUGCUUUCACGAUGCUUAGCGGCGGACGGGUGAGUAACACGUAGGUAACCUGCCUGUAAGAC
This 145-nucleotide ribosomal RNA is filed under the name Paenibacillus nanensis. RNAcentral describes it as "Bacterial small subunit ribosomal RNA". It matches the Rfam family "Bacterial small subunit ribosomal RNA", at positions 1 to 138 of the family's 1533-position model. Lineage: Bacteria; Bacillati; Bacillota; Bacilli; Caryophanales; Paenibacillaceae. The record is from Rfam by way of RNAcentral.